Molecule: ribosomal RNA, 257 nt
Filed under: uncultured prokaryote
Description: partial 16S ribosomal RNA
Rfam family: Bacterial small subunit ribosomal RNA
Source: RNAcentral
AACACGUAGGGGGCGAGCGUUGUCCGGAUUUAUUGGGCGUAAAGAGCUCGUAGGCGGCUCAGUUAGUCGGGUGUGAAACCUCCAGGCUCAACCUGGAGACGCCACCCGAUACUGCUGUGGCUAGAGUCCGGUAGGGGAGCGUGGAAUUCCUGGUGUAGCGGUGAAAUGCGCAGAUAUCAGGAGGAACACCAGCGGCGAAGGCGGCGCUCUGGGCCGGAACUGACGCUGAGGAGCGAAAGCGUGGGGAGCGAACAGGA